RNAcentral lists this ribosomal RNA (484 nucleotides) under uncultured bacterium. RNAcentral's name for it is "partial 16S ribosomal RNA". It matches the Rfam family "Bacterial small subunit ribosomal RNA", at positions 30 to 507 of the family's 1533-position model. The record is from RNAcentral.
AUUGAACGCUGGCGGCAGGCCUAACACAUGCAAGUCGAGCGGAUGAAGGGAGCUUGCUCCUGGAUUCAGCGGCGGACGGGUGAGUAAUGCCUAGGAAUCUGCCUGGUAGUGGGGGAUAACGUCCGGAAACGGGCGCUAAUACCGCAUACGUCCUGAGGGAGAAAGUGGGGGAUCUUCGGACCUCACGCUAUCAGAUGAGCCUAGGUCGGAUUAGCUAGUUGGUGGGGUAAAGGCCUACCAAGGCGACGAUCCGUAACUGGUCUGAGAGGAUGAUCAGUCACACUGGAACUGAGACACGGUCCAGGCUCCUACGGGAGGCAGCAGUGGGGAAUAUUGGACAAUGGGCGAAAGCCUGAUCCAGCCAUGCCGCGUGUGUGAAGAAGGUCUUCGGAUUGUAAAGCACUUUAAGCUGGGAGGAAGGGCAGUAAGUUAAUACCUUGCUGUUUUGACGUUACCAACAGAAUAAGCACCGGCUAACUUCGUG